RNAcentral lists this long non-coding RNA (395 nucleotides) under Cucumis sativus (cucumber). RNAcentral describes it as "long non-coding RNA (CSAT_LNC000133)". The record is from RNAcentral. Lineage: Eukaryota; Viridiplantae; Streptophyta; Magnoliopsida; Cucurbitales; Cucurbitaceae.
UCUAGAAUAGGAAAAGGUAGAUGCAAUCUAGUGUUCAUCCUUUAAACUUCAAUAUAGUCAUCAAUGAUGCACGGAAUGGUACCACAAAACUUGAAAGAUAAUAAAUCGAAAGGAAAUGAGACUUUCAGCUUCUUACUUGAUUAAAAGGUUUAGUAUCAACCAAUAAGAGAAGGACAAGAGAAUGUAAAGGACGAUACAAAACUUAAUUACCAAAUCAAACUUUUCAGCUUCUUACUUGAUUAAAAGGUUUAGUAUCAACCAAUAAGAGAAGGACAAGAGAAUGUAAAGGACGAUACAAAACUUAAUUACUAAAUCAAACUAUGUGAUCAUAGUAAACGAUGACCUGUAUCUGUGAGAAGCUCAAGAUAAAAUUUUAUCAUACAACUUGGAGUUGU